This 836-nucleotide ribosomal RNA is filed under the name uncultured Gemmatimonadota bacterium. RNAcentral's name for it is "bacterial SSU rRNA". It matches the Rfam family "Bacterial small subunit ribosomal RNA", at positions 58 to 905 of the family's 1533-position model. The record is from RNAcentral. Lineage: Bacteria; Pseudomonadati; Gemmatimonadota.
CAAGUCACGGGGGUCCGCAAGGGCAACCGGCGAACGGGUGCGGAACACGUGAGCAAUCUGCCGAUUACUGGGGGAUAGCCGGCCCAACGGCCGGGUAAUACCGCAUACGCUCAAGAGGGGACAUCCCCAUUUGAGGAAACCUCCGGGGGUAAUCGAGGAGCUCGCGUCUUAUCAGCUAGUUGGCGGGGUAACGGCCCACCAAGGCUACGACGGGUAGCUGGUCUGAGAGGAUGGCCAGCCACAUUGGGACUGCGACACGGCCCAGACUCCUACGGGAGGCAGCAGUGGGGAAUAUUGCGCAAUGGACGAAAGUCUGACGCAGCGACGCCGCGUGUGGGAUGAAGCUCUUCGGGGUGUAAACCACUGUUGCCCGGGACGAAUCUCUGGUUUCGACCAGAUUGACGGUACCGGGUGAGGAAGCACCGGCUAACUCUGUGCCAGCAGCCGCGGUAUACAGAGGGUGCGAGCGUUGUCCGGAAUCACUGGGCGUAAAGGGCGUGUAGGUGGCUCGUUAAGCGUGUGGUGAAAGCCUGGGGCUCAACCCCAGGUCUGCCGUGCGAACUGGCGAGCUUGAGUACAGUAGAGGCAGGUGGAAUUUCGGGUGUAGCGGUGGAAUGCGUAGAUAUCCGAAAGAACACCGGUGGCGAAGGCGGCCUGCUGGGCUGUUACUGACACUGAAACGCGACAGCGUGGGGAGCAAACAGGAUUAGAUACCCUGGUAGUCCACGCCGUAAACGAUGGGUACUAGGCGUCUGGGGGAGCGACCCCCUUGGGUGCCGGCGCUAACGCAUGAAGUACCCCGCCUGGGGAGUACGGCCGCAAGGCUGAAACUCAAA